RNAcentral lists this ribosomal RNA (343 nucleotides) under Corynebacterineae bacterium CL5.31. RNAcentral's name for it is "bacterial SSU rRNA". It matches the Rfam family "Bacterial small subunit ribosomal RNA", at positions 128 to 486 of the family's 1533-position model. The record is from RNAcentral. Lineage: Bacteria; Bacillati; Actinomycetota; Actinomycetes; Mycobacteriales; Corynebacteriaceae.
GCCCUGCACUUCGGGAUAAGCCUGGGAAACUGGGUCUAAUACCGGAUAUGACCAAAGGCUGCAUGGCUUUUGGUGGAAAGGUUUACUGGUGCAGGAUGGGCCCGCGGCCUAUCAGCUUGUUGGUGGGGUAAUGGCCUACCAAGGCGACGACGGGUAGCCGACCUGAGAGGGUGACCGGCCACACUGGGACUGAGACACGGCCCAGACUCCUACGGGAGGCAGCAGUGGGGAAUAUUGCACAAUGGGCGAAAGCCUGAUGCAGCGACGCCGCGUGAGGGAUGAAGGCCUUCGGGUUGUAAACCUCUUUCAGCAGGGACGAAGCGAGAGUGACGGUACCGCAGAA